RNAcentral lists this ribosomal RNA (395 nucleotides) under uncultured bacterium. RNAcentral describes it as "partial 16S ribosomal RNA". It matches the Rfam family "Bacterial small subunit ribosomal RNA", at positions 523 to 918 of the family's 1533-position model. The record is from RNAcentral.
AUACGUAGGGAGCGAGCGUUGUCCGGAAUUACUGGGCGUAAAGGGUGCGUAGGCGGCCUGUUAAGUCAGAUGUGAAAUACCCGGGCUUAACCCGGGGGGUGCAUCUGAUACUGGCAGGCUUGAGUGCAGGAGAGGAAAGCGGAAUUCCUAGUGUAGCGGUGAAAUGCGUAGAUAUUAGGAGGAACACCAGUGGCGAAGGCGGCUUUCUGGACUUGAACUGCCGCUGAGGCACGAAAGCGUGGGGAGCAAACAGGAUUAGAUACCCUGGUAGUCCACGCCGUAAACGAUGGAUACUAGGUGUAGGGGUCAAAAGACUUCUGUGCCGCAGCAAACGCAUUAAGUUUCCCGCCUGGGGAGUACGGCCGCAAGGCUGAAACUCAAAUGAAUUGACGGGG